CGGGCAGGUGGUCCGCUAAGUCGUCUGUGAAAACCCGGGGCUCAACCCCGUGGAAUGCAGGCGAAACUGGCGGACUGGAGAUCGGUAGAGGCUAACGGAAUUCCUGGUGUAGCGGUGGAAUGCGUAGAUAUCAGGAAGAACACCAGUGGCGAAGGCGGUUAGCUGGGCCGAGUCUGACACUCAUCCGCGAAAGCGUGGGGAGCAAACAGGAUUAGAUACCCUGGUAGUC
This 229-nucleotide ribosomal RNA is filed under the name uncultured bacterium. Its description in RNAcentral is "partial 16S ribosomal RNA". It matches the Rfam family "Bacterial small subunit ribosomal RNA", at positions 568 to 795 of the family's 1533-position model. The record is from RNAcentral.